RNAcentral lists this ribosomal RNA (239 nucleotides) under uncultured Desulfocapsa sp. RNAcentral describes it as "partial 16S ribosomal RNA". It matches the Rfam family "Bacterial small subunit ribosomal RNA", at positions 1144 to 1382 of the family's 1533-position model. Lineage: Bacteria; Pseudomonadati; Thermodesulfobacteriota; Desulfobulbia; Desulfobulbales; Desulfocapsaceae. The record is from RNAcentral.
AAGGACUGCCGGUGUCAAACCGGAGGAAGGUGGGGAUGACGUCAAGUCCUCAUGGCCUUUAUGACCAGGGCUACACACGUACUACAAUGGCCGGUACAAAGGGCAGCGACACAGCGAUGUGAAGCCAAUCCCGAAAAGCCGGUCUCAGUCCGGAUUGGAGUCUGCAACUCGACUCCAUGAAGUUGGAAUCGCUAGUAAUCGCGGAUCAGCACGCCGCGGUGAAUACGUUCCCGGGCCUU